Molecule: ribosomal RNA, 568 nt
Filed under: uncultured bacterium
Lineage: Bacteria
Description: partial 16S ribosomal RNA
Rfam family: Bacterial small subunit ribosomal RNA
Source: RNAcentral
UGGGGAAUAUUGCACAAUGGGCGAAAGCCUGAUGCAGCGACGCCGCGUGAGGGAUGACGGCCUUCGGGUUGUAAACCUCUUUCAGCAGGGAAGAAGCGAAAGUGACGGUACCUGCAGAAGAAGCGCCGGCUAACUACGUGCCAGCAGCCGCGGUAAUACGUAGGGCGCAAGCGUUGUCCGGAAUUAUUGGGCGUAAAGAGCUCGUAGGCGGUUAGUCGCGUCUGCUGUGAAAACUCGAGGCUCAACCUCGGGCUUGCAGUGAGUACGGGCUGACUAGAGUGCGGUAGGGGUGACUGGAAUUCCUGGUGUAGCGGUGGAAUGCGCAGAUAUCAGGAGGAACACCGAUGGCGAAGGCAGGUCACUGGGCCGCAACUGACGCUGAGGAGCGAAAGCAUGGGGAGCGAACAGGAUUAGAUACCCUGGUAGUCCAUGCCGUAAACGUUGGGCACUAGGUGUGGGGUCCAUUCCACGGAUUCCGUGCCGCAGCAAACGCAUUAAGUGCCCCGCCUGGGGAGUACGGCCGCAAGGCUAAACUCAAAUGAAUUGACGGGGUCAUAGCUGUUUCCUG